UCGGGGGUAGCUCAAUGGUAGAGCGCCGUCCUGUUAAGUCGGUGGUUGACGGUUCGAGUCCGUCCCCCCGAG
Molecule: transfer RNA, 72 nt
Filed under: Solirubrobacterales bacterium
Lineage: Bacteria; Bacillati; Actinomycetota; Thermoleophilia; Solirubrobacterales
Also listed under: 2 other names
Description: tRNA-Asn
Rfam family: tRNA
About the family: Transfer RNA (tRNA) molecules are approximately 80 nucleotides in length. Their secondary structure includes four short double-helical elements and three loops (D, anti-codon, and T loops).
Source: RNAcentral